UUUCAUGCUGCUGCUGAACAAGGGUUAUAAAAAGCUGGUUCUCUUUAUAUCAUUUUUUUUCAUCUGCCUGACCUUGUUUCUUCACCGCCCACACAAUGGAAUUUCAGCUGUUUGGGCUAUAAACAAAGUGGACAGCUUUUGCAAUGCUUCAGUUCUACUGGCAGCACAACAGCCCAAAGCAUAAUACUACCACCAUCAAUAGAAUGAAUGGGUGAGAGAGCUGUUGUCAUGGCAGUGAAGGAGAGUGAAACCCCAGAGGAAAUAAAAGAGAAAACCUCAUCAGCAUCCUGAUACGCUCCUGACCUUCAAAAAAAAACGAGAAGCAGAUGCACACACACACACACGUAAUACUAUCUGUAUCUACAGCAUCAAAAAUCAUGCAGAAACUGCAACACUGAAUAAAAAUAUCCUAAUCAUAACAAAUCCCCUGCAUCCACAAAAA
Molecule: long non-coding RNA, 442 nt
Organism: Trichomycterus rosablanca
Lineage: Eukaryota; Metazoa; Chordata; Actinopteri; Siluriformes; Trichomycteridae
Exons: 3
Source: RefSeq, a predicted model, not a curated record